UAUAUAGAGAGUGAUUUCCCAUAUGUCAAGAUGAUAUCUGCAGAAAGCAUGAUUGGUCUCGGUGAAGCAACUAAAUGUGCACAAAUUGUCAAGGCAUGCAGUAGUGAUGAAGAUGGUUUGCUUGGUUUUGACGUACAUAGUGAUG
Molecule: long non-coding RNA, 145 nt
Organism: Zingiber officinale
Lineage: Eukaryota; Viridiplantae; Streptophyta; Magnoliopsida; Zingiberales; Zingiberaceae
Exons: 3
Source: RefSeq, a predicted model, not a curated record